GUAAAGAUGAGGCAACAAGACACAGAAAGAACACCAUAAGAAGACAGAGGGAAAACCAAGGAGUACUAAAGAUUGCCGGCAAACCACCAGAGGCUAGGAGAGAGGCAUGGAACAGAUUCUCCCUCACAGCCCUCAGAAUAAACCAACCCUGCCAACACCUUGAUCUUGGACUUCUACCCUCCAGAACUGUCCUGUUUUCUGAAACAUCAUUCUUCAGUAAAAGGAGCAGAGUUCCUUGGAGAAGCAGUUGAUUCCAGGGCAGGGGCAAGAAAACUACCAGGUAUUGGCUCCAAGAGCACUUCCUAAUAAACACCCUAUAUGCUGAUCUCCAUCUCAGAGUCUCAUCCCUGGUGGCCUCACACUGUGACAGUCAUCUUUAGUUCUGAUGUUAGUCUAACAUUUGAUCUGUUCUGAUCUCAAGUCCUCAAUAAAAAAUUCAGAUUUA
This 445-nucleotide long non-coding RNA is filed under the name Homo sapiens (human). RNAcentral describes it as "HSALNT0407454". Lineage: Eukaryota; Metazoa; Chordata; Mammalia; Primates; Hominidae. The record is from RNAcentral.